RNAcentral lists this ribosomal RNA (646 nucleotides) under Salmonella enterica. RNAcentral describes it as "partial 23S ribosomal RNA". It matches the Rfam family "Bacterial large subunit ribosomal RNA", at positions 653 to 1236 of the family's 2925-position model. Lineage: Bacteria; Pseudomonadati; Pseudomonadota; Gammaproteobacteria; Enterobacterales; Enterobacteriaceae. The record is from RNAcentral.
CCGAAUAGGGGAGCCGGAGGGAAACCGAGUCUUAAUUGGGCGUUAAGUUGCAGGGUAUAGACCCGAAACCCGGUGAUCUAGCCAUGGGCAGGUUGAAGGUUGGGUAACACUAACUGGAGGACCGAACCGACUAAUGUUGAAAAAUUAGCGGAUGACCUGUGGCUGGGGGUGAAAGGCCAAUCAAACCGGGAGAUAGCUGGUUCUCCCCGAAAGCUAUUUAGGUAGCGCCUCGUGAAUUCAUCUCCGGGGGUAGAGCACUGUUUCGGCUAGGGGGCCAUCCCGGCUUACCAACCCGAUGCAAACUGCGAAUACCGGAGAAUGUUAUCACGGGAGACACACGGCGGGUGCUAACGUCCGUCGUGAAGAGGGAAACAACCCAGACCGCCAGCUAAGGUCCCAAAGUCAUGGUUAAGUGGGAAACGAUGUGGGAAGGCCCAGACAGCCAGGAUGUUGGCUUAGAAGCAGCCAUCAUUUAAAGAAAGCGUAAUAGCUCACUGGUCGAGUCGGCCUGCGCGGAAGAUGUAACGGGGCUAAACCAUGCACCGAAGCUGCGGCAGCGAACGUAUCACUUAAAGCGAUUCAGCGGGUUACGAUUGACGGAGCGAAGCGACGUCAAAGCGUAUACAAAGUCGAGUCGGUUUAAGGA